AACGUACGCUGGCGGCACGCCUAACACAUGCAAGUCGAACGCAGUAGCAAUACUGAGUGGCAGACGGGUGAGUAACAUGUGGGAAUCUGCCUUGUGGUUCAGGACAACAUUGGGAAACCGAUGCUAAUACUGGAUAAGCCCUUACGGGGAAAGUUUUAAUGCCAUAAGAUGAGCCCGCAUUUGAUUAGUUAGUUGGUGAGGUAAUGGCUCACCAAGACAAUGAUCAAUAGCUGAACUGAGAUGAUGAUCAGCCACACUGGGACUGAGACACGGCCCAGACUCCUACGGGAGGCAGCAGUGGGGAAUCUUGCACAAUGGAGGAAACUCUGAUGCAGCGAUGCCGCGUGAGUGAAGAAGGCCUUUGGGUUGUAAAGCUCUUUUGUAGGGGAAGAUAAUGACUGUACCCUAAGAAUAAGGUCCGGCUAACUUCGUGCCAGCAGCCGCCGUAA
This 449-nucleotide ribosomal RNA is filed under the name uncultured bacterium. RNAcentral describes it as "partial 16S ribosomal RNA". It matches the Rfam family "Bacterial small subunit ribosomal RNA", at positions 29 to 523 of the family's 1533-position model. The record is from RNAcentral.